GUUAAGCGACUAAGCGUACACGGUGGAUGCCCUGGCAGUCAGAGGCGAUGAAGGACGUGCUAAUCUGCGAUAAGCGUCGGUAAGGUGAUAUGAACCGUUAUAACCGGCGAUUUCCGAAUGGGGAAACCCAGUGUGUUUCGACACACUAUCAUUAACUGAAUCCAUAGGUUAAUGAGGCGAACCGGGGGAACUGAAACAUCUAAGUACCCCGAGGAAAAGAAAUCAACCGAGAUUCCCCCAGUAGCGGCGAGCGAACGGGGAGCAGCCCAGAGCCUGAAUCAGUAUGUGUGUUAGUGGAAGCGUCUGGAAAGGCGCGCGAUACAGGGUGACAGCCCCGUACACAAAAAUGCACAUGCUGUGAGCUCGAUGAGUAGGGCGGGACACGUGGUAUCCUGUCUGAAUAUGGGGGGACCAUCCUCCAAGGCUAAAUACUCCUGACUGACCGAUAGUGAACCAGUACCGUGAGGGAAAGGCGAAAAGAACCCCGGCGAGGGGAGUGAAAAAGAACCUGAAACCGUGUACGUACAAGCAGUGGGAGCACGCUUAGGCGUGUGACUGCGUACCUUUUGUAUAAUGGGUCAGCGACUUAUAUUCUGUAGCAAGGUUAACCGAAUAGGGGAGCCGAAGGGAAACCGAGUCUUAACUGGGCGUUAAGUUGCAGGGUAUAGACCCGAAACCCGGUGAUCUAGCCAUGGGCAGGUUGAAGGUUGGGUAACACUAACUGGAGGACCGAACCGACUAAUGUUGAAAAAUUAGCGGAUGACUUGUGGCUGGGGGUGAAAGGCCAAUCAAACCGGGAGAUAGCUGGUUCUCCCCGAAAGCUAUUUAGGUAGCGCCUCGUGAAUUCAUCUCCGGGGGUAGAGCACUGUUUCGGCAAGGGGGUCAUCCCGACUUACCAACCCGAUGCAAACUGCGAAUACCGGAGAAUGUUAUCACGGGAGACACACGGCGGGUGCUAACGUCCGUCGUGAAGAGGGAAACAACCCAGACCGCCAGCUAAGGUCCCAAAGUCAUGGUUAAGUGGGAAACGAUGUGGGAAGGCCCAGACAGCCAGGAUGUUGGCUUAGAAGCAGCCAUCAUUUAAAGAAAGCGUAAUAGCUCACUGGUCGAGUCGGCCUGCGCGGAAGAUGUAACGGGGCUAAACCAUGCACCGAAGCUGCGGCAGCGACGCUGAUGCGUUGUUGGGUAGGGGAGCGUUCUGUAAGCCUGCGAAGGUGUGCUGUGAGGCAUGCUGGAGGUAUCAGAAGUGCGAAUGCUGACAUAAGUAACGAUAAAGCGGGUGAAAAGCCCGCUCGCCGGAAGACCAAGGGUUCCUGUCCAACGUUAAUCGGGGCAGGGUGAGUCGACCCCUAAGGCGAGGCCGAAAGGCGUAGUCGAUGGGAAACAGGUUAAUAUUCCUGUACUUGGUGUUACUGCGAAGGGGGGACGGAGAAGGCUAUGUUGGCCGGGCGACGGUUGUCCCGGUUUAAGCGUGUAGGCUGGU
RNAcentral lists this ribosomal RNA (1483 nucleotides) under Escherichia coli. RNAcentral describes it as "partial 23S ribosomal RNA". It matches the Rfam family "Bacterial large subunit ribosomal RNA", at positions 1 to 1529 of the family's 2925-position model. The record is from RNAcentral. Lineage: Bacteria; Pseudomonadati; Pseudomonadota; Gammaproteobacteria; Enterobacterales; Enterobacteriaceae.